UACGAAGGGGGCUAGCGUUGCUCGGAAUUACUGGGCGUAAAGGGAGCGUAGGCGGGUCAUCAAGUUGGAGGUGAAAGCCCAGGGCUCAACCUUGGAAUUGCCUUCAAAACUGAUAACCUAGGGGAUGAUAGAGGUAAGUGGAACUCCGAGUGUAGAGGUGAAAUUCGUAGAUAUUCGGAAGAACACCAGUGGCGAAGGCGACUUACUGGAUCAUUACUGACGCUGAGGCUCGAAAGCGUGGGGAGCAAACAGG
RNAcentral lists this ribosomal RNA (253 nucleotides) under uncultured bacterium. RNAcentral describes it as "partial 16S ribosomal RNA". It matches the Rfam family "Bacterial small subunit ribosomal RNA", at positions 524 to 776 of the family's 1533-position model. The record is from RNAcentral.